GUUCUUGGGCAUUUCUUUUUGACUUCAAAUCUGGCUCCCACUUUCUGGAUCGAUGACAUCGUUGACGUUGGAAUAAGGAAUUUGUCGUCAUGCGACACUAGUUUAAAGGAACUUGUAAUAUGUUUAUAACUGAAGAUGUUAAGUGGGCCCAUCAACGUGCAUCCGUCCCAUGACCCACAUGGAAAUUUCUGUGCAAGUACCCGACAUUUUCUUGACUUGCACCAAAAGUAAGAACGCACGCCAAGAUUUUUGCCUGCCAACUAGCUAGCACCUCUAUCCUUACCUCUUGCCCGAAUAAGAAUAUGUAUGUAUGUAUGUAUAUAUAUAUAUAUACUAAAAUCCAGCUGCAUGAAGAGUCCAGUUGCAGUCAAGAGUAUGGCUACAAAAGCCUGCUGUAUAUUGCUCGCUGAAGCAAUUGGGGCAAUAAUAUAGAGGACCACAGGCGGCUGGUUGGUCAAGUAUCAUCAUUAGAUGUUUCCACAGCGAUAGCUCUGCUGUGAUCUCCAUCCUCUUUCUAAUUGCCUGCAAAAGAAAAUAUACCAAAGAUAUUAGCAAAUAGUUGAAGAAACUGGAAGCUUACUUGAGAUUGGAGCUAUGGAAGCAACCGAUUGAGCCAAGACAGAAAAGAGGAGGAUAUGGCUGGAG
RNAcentral lists this long non-coding RNA (645 nucleotides) under Phoenix dactylifera (date palm). Its description in RNAcentral is "long non-coding RNA (PDAC_LNC020032)". Lineage: Eukaryota; Viridiplantae; Streptophyta; Magnoliopsida; Arecales; Arecaceae. The record is from RNAcentral.